GGGUACUGAAUUAACGUACCGAUUGAGUAUACGCCCUAUAUAUCCUAUAUUUAGCUAAGUGUAAGAAUUGCAUACCUAUACCUGUACUACCGUCCAAACCUUCUGCUUUCCAGGUAACUAUGGUUCUAAUUGGGCUUCUAGAAAGACUUGACCUUGAGCAGUCUGGAGCACUGCAGAAUGCACCUCGAUAAGGCAUCUGUGAAUUUUGUACGUGAGUGCUUAAAAGAGCCCAUCUUGGAGAUGUGGAAGCAAUAUGAUUAUUGAGUGAAAAAUCAGCAGGCUUCAGCACCUCUUUGGAGUUCUUUUGAAUAACAAUAGGGGAUUGAUCUUCAAAUGCAGAUACAGAAACUCGCCUUGAUGGGCUGUUUGCAGCAGUUCUAUUUCCAUUUUCAUAGUCAGAUGUGAGAGGCCUUAGGACACGUGAAUCAGACGGGUAGUCACUAUCAGUGGAGCUAACACUAGAAACAGAAGCAGUCGCAAUAUCACCUUCAGUAUAAGCAUGGUCUAAUCUAUUAGAGACGCAUUCGGGCCUUGGAAGGGGCAAAUCCAAAGGCUCUGAGCCUCUUCCCAAUCCUGGUCUUCUUGAAACACCGAUUCCAGAACUACUACGCCCAACACCUGCAUGGUGAACCCCAGGAAGUGGAAGUGGUUGAGCAUGAGGCCUUUCUGCAAAACUUUGAGAGCGUGCUACUCCCAUGGACGGUGAUGGUGAUCUUGAUGGCACUCAUGAUCUGGAUCCCCUUUCUGAAACAUUAUCACUACAAUGUCUCCGAGAUCCUCCUGAUCUACUAUUGCUUUUCCCCUAUGAAGAAAUCUUCAAUUUUUGAUGUAUUGCAUCAAUGAUACUUUCCUUUGCUUUCUUCUUGUCUUCUUUGGAUGAAGUCUUUCCCCACCAUGAAAGCAUAUUUAUGUAAAAAAACAACAACUGCAAAUUCUAACUUAAAAUGCACUCCCCCACUUAUAAGGAAGCUCUCAGAUGUACUCUAUAUGCAGUACUCAAACAAGCUAUGACUGCUUUGUCUGCAAAUAGUUUUGCAGUGAAUGUAUAGCUCAAAAUUGCGGCGUCAUUUCCCCCCAGAUAACAAGAAGAGAAAGCUCAAAAGUCAAAAAGCAAAGGAAAAAAAAAUUGAUGAGAGAUAAAGACGGAGGCCGUGUUCUUCUAGAGAGAGUGGGUCGUCUCAGCGUUGAUUGUGAUAAAAUAUUAACUAUUGGAAAACGAGAACACCCCACCUAAGACGCACGAUGUACGGUAAUAACAUCUGUUGCGUGAAAUCAUAACCGUUCGUUUGACAUAUGUCAUGUAUUGACGUUGAUAAGGAAGAAGGAAUAAUUUCGUUAGUCAACGGAUGUAAAAGAACAAAAAAAUUAUGGUGAUUCUUGAAGCAUGGGAUCAUGAAUCGCUUCACGUUGGAAAGUCAUUCUUUGCAAGUGAUCAAUGGAAUUCAAAAUGGGUCUCCUCCACCACUCUUAAUCUCUGGAAUUAUUCAAGACAUUCAAAACACGGUGUUUGGUGUUUGUUUGUUCUCAUGUCAAUAGAUGAGGAACAUGCCAGCUCGUUCUUUAACUAGAAAAACGCUGCAAGAUAUUUCCUUUAUUUUCAAUUAUUUGGCUCAACAUCACUUUGUUUCUUUUUUUAUGCUCAAGCAGGGCCUCAUCUAUGAAUCUGCCUUUAAAAAAAAAAUUCAACAAUUAGAUCGGCUCGCAUCAAAUCGAACCAAAAUAGAAUCAAAACUAAAACUAAAAUCUUAUAAUUUUGUUUAGAAAAUUCGGUUCCACACACUAUAACUACUGGUUCUGAUUUGAAAAUCGAACCAAAUUUGGCAAUGGAUGGGGCUAAGGCAUGGUUAGAAUCAGACUAGUCAAACUUAGAAUCAAAAUUAAACCAAAAUCAACUUGGCAAAAACCGAAUUGAAAUUAUAUCAGAAUUGAACAGUUCGAUUUUGAGUCAAAACUAGAUUUGCUUUUAAAAAGUGAAAAAAACAAAGUUGCAGCUUAUUAAAUUAGAUCAAACCAAAAUCAAAUUGGGACUAAAAUCGAUUAUGAGGACCAUGUUGUUCAAUUUGGAUUCCCUUGAAUUAAUAAAUAAAAAUCACCAUUUCUCACUAAGACCAACUUGAACCGGUCCAGUGGCAAUGCCAAGUUCCAAUGAAAAAAUAAAUC
Molecule: unclassified non-coding RNA, 2160 nt
Filed under: Hevea brasiliensis (rubber tree)
Lineage: Eukaryota; Viridiplantae; Streptophyta; Magnoliopsida; Malpighiales; Euphorbiaceae
Source: RNAcentral